GUUUCUAGACUGUGCUUCCGUGGCAUUGCUGCUGUUGGUACCUCAGCUAGGUAGCUCAAAGUUAGAGUGGGUGAGUGUCCCUAUAUUGUAGUGACACCUCUGAUUUCAGAGUAGACAUAUCCUGAGCUUGGGAGAAUUGUUAAAGUUCAUCCCAGGACUGUUGGUAUCAGAGGCCUGACUCCUGAGGGGGACAUUCAGAGACCAGCGAGAGCACGGCAGUGCACGCAAUCCUCAUCCUUGACUUCUAUCAUAGAACCCUUUUCUUGCAUUUUUUUUUUCAUUUUCAUAGGCAGAGUGUCAGCCCAUCCUCUUCUCUUUCUCUCCUGCCUGAAUCAUGUGAAUGAGACAAACCUGGAGAGGUGCUUAGCACCAGCAGGUACCAUUGUCUUCACCGGGCUUGGCACACAAACAAUUUGUGUCUGUCCUUUUGACAAUUAUUGUUAAGUCUGAUGGAAGUGGCCUGCAGAAGUCAGCUGCUGAUCAGAGCCAAACCAGAAGGUGUCCGUUAAGUGUCCUAAGAUAUUUUGUACAGACCACUGUGACCUAAUGUGUCCUACACAAUCUGAGAUGGCACAAGAUUUUUGGCACAGAGACAGUGGCAUUUUUCAUAGAGUUGUAAGAAUCACAACAUCCAGACUGUGGUUGGUUAAUUGAAAUCUUCCCCAGAAGCUGGGGUCAUCUUCUGAUUGGCUCAAAGCAGUUUUACAAAAUCUAUAAAACAGGGAGUUUGGGUCAAAGCAUCACUCUGUGAAGCUAAAACAUCAGGACAAGAGACAGCGAGCUGGACUGUCAUCACUUGGUUGCUGGGAGCGCUUCCUCUGUGUGACACCGAGUUCCUGGUCCAGCUUCAGCGAUGAAGAUCCUUUACCUGCUCUUCUCUGUUGUCUUCUUGGUGCUCAUGAAUGCUCCAGGAUUCUCCUGGGCCAUAGUGACCCCUGGGGGAUGUAAACACCGAGGGGGCUUUUGCUUCUUUUGGCGAUGUCCCACCCCAUCUGAGUACUUUGACAAGUGCAUUCCAUAUGGCCACUGCUGUCGCAAGAAGUAGUUUGACAGAUAGCCACUUGCUUCUAAAAUCACCAGGUGGAUGAAUCACCUCAGUGGAACCUUGAAGUGCCAUUCAUUUCAGCUGGAAAUAAGAAAUUCCAGAAAGGAGCCCUUGUAUCACCCAUAAAUGAUUUGUUAUUCUCCUUUUAAUAAAAGCAAGCAGGUGUGAGAUAAUCAUGCCAAAGUGUGUGUGUGUUGGCGGGAGACAAGGGGACUGCUUCUAUCAUAGGGGGAGAGGAAGAGAGAGAGAGAGAAAGAGAGAGAGAGAGAGAGAGAAACUUCUGUCUAAAACACACAGCAUGGUCUAAAAUGCUUUCAGCAUUUUUUUGAGAGAUCAUUUUGGAAAUGAAACUUUCUCAGCCUGCAGGGCUUUGUUGCAGAAUAUCUAGGAUAAAUUUUAAUGCUCUCUAUCGUUUCUAAAGUCACAUAUUAUUUCUCCACCACAAGUUAGUGUUUCGUAUACUAUGUCUUUAUUAUGAAUUUCUAGGCAUGUAGCACAUACUAUGCAAGAAACUGGUAAAAGAUAAAAUUGCUUUACAAUUAAAGGGGAAUUUGUGGUUAGCUUAAUUAGCAACUGUUGCUUACACAACCCAACUCCUCGGUGAAGCACAUUUGCAUCAUCUGCUAUCUGGGAUGUCAGAAGGAGUUUGGCCUAAGCUAUGAAAGGUUCCACGAGGCGUACAGGUAGUUCGGAAUAGGAAGCCUA
This is a long non-coding RNA of Pelodiscus sinensis (Chinese soft-shelled turtle), 1750 nucleotides long. RefSeq lists it as uncharacterized. NCBI's taxonomy places the organism in Eukaryota, Metazoa, Chordata, Testudines, Trionychidae. The record is from RefSeq and is a predicted model, not a curated record.